UCGGCGUUCUAUUUUGAUUCUUCACCAGUCACCACACAUAAGUAUGAAAGCGGUGACCAAACAGACAAUGACGUCAGUGUUUGGAAGCAGCCACCAUAGAAAAGCGUGGUUGAUUCGCUUGGCAAUAGUAUGGCUGGAAUACGAUGCUGCUUACACUGCAUUCGGCUGUUUGGCUUGAGUUUUGAAUGGUGGCCUCAUCUUCCCAUUCCAAUUGGCAUGAGGCGAACACGUUUGGAUGUAAGUGAUUAAAUGUAGUUCUUUAUUAACAAUUUUACCGUUAUUAUUAGUUCAUGUUCGUUUGAACCGAAUCCCCAAAUAAAAGGGCUUAUUUUCCGGCA
Long non-coding RNA from Daphnia magna, 338 nucleotides. RefSeq lists it as uncharacterized. The transcript is spliced from 2 exons. Lineage: Eukaryota; Metazoa; Arthropoda; Branchiopoda; Diplostraca; Daphniidae. The record is from RefSeq and is a predicted model, not a curated record.